AGCUGAAUGGCACGUGAAUUGUCCUAACUCUGAGUCUUUGCAGGAGCUCUUCCCCAAAGGAUACUUCCCUCACCUUUCACCUCCACACUCAAACCACAGACAACUGGUACAGCUGGGCCACAUGAUGAAUGAGACACAGCUCCUUCACUUUUCAAAUGACAUGGAAACUGAGGCAUCCUAUGACAAUGCACCCAAGAAAUAAUAAGCAGAAUACACACAUUCAUGAAACAUGGGAAUGGGAUGCAUAAAUAUAAUUUCUGGCAUCUGAAAGUGAAUCAUUCUCUCUUCUUCAGCAAUGGAAUUAUUUUCACGUUUCCAGCUGCAGUGAUCCCAGCUCUCUAAAACCACAGUCGGCCACAGCAUCAGCAGGCACCCAGAGGAGGCCGCUCCAAUGGCUGGAGGUUCCAAAGCAGCCCCCACCCGCACACCCGCACACACCCGCACACACCUGGGUGUGUUUGCUUGCUGAGGGCUUGGGGCAGGCAUAUGGGCAGUUCUGGCUGCCAGAUGCUCACCUAGCUCCUUCUGCCUCUGUUUCAGGGGACAAAUAACUAGGGGAAAUGAGGAAACGAUUGUGUUAAUGAUUGUGGCACCACCCAAAUCUAGAGUAUAUGCUGAAGGAACAGAACUUGGGGAGGGAACACUCUGAGAACUUGAU
Long non-coding RNA from Artibeus jamaicensis (Jamaican fruit-eating bat), 658 nucleotides. RefSeq lists it as uncharacterized. The transcript has 4 exons. The record is from RefSeq and is a predicted model, not a curated record. NCBI's taxonomy places the organism in Eukaryota, Metazoa, Chordata, Mammalia, Chiroptera, Phyllostomidae.